Molecule: long non-coding RNA, 397 nt
Organism: Rhipicephalus sanguineus (brown dog tick)
Lineage: Eukaryota; Metazoa; Arthropoda; Arachnida; Ixodida; Ixodidae
Exons: 4
Source: RefSeq, a predicted model, not a curated record
UGCAACGGGCACGUUCAGUGGGCUGCGCGGCCGUUGCGAUGAGCUGCAUUGCUGAUUCUUCGCUUGCCCGAGACUGGCAAUUGUCGAGCGGGUUGCAUCCGUUGUUACGUUGCCUGAAGACAGUAGUAAAUGUGAUUUGCAGAUAGCACGAAUGCCAGCAAUCGUGCAACGUAGGAGUUCAAAGGGAGACAUGGUCAGUGUGGUUGGGUGCAAGCAACGUGUCAUUGUGGUUAGAAAAAAUGAAUUGUGAUUUAACUGUCAAAGCCGGAAUGUUUAAAGCAUACAUCCCGCCCAAGGCAUGCUGGGAUGAUCUCCUAUCAGGCAGCUUGGAAACUUCCAGACGCCGAUAUGCCUUAUGUUCGGUGCAGCCCAGGUUAUGAACUGUCAAGUGGAAUAU